This 72-nucleotide transfer RNA is filed under the name Ovis aries (sheep). It matches the Rfam family "tRNA". From Rfam's summary of the family: Transfer RNA (tRNA) molecules are approximately 80 nucleotides in length. Their secondary structure includes four short double-helical elements and three loops (D, anti-codon, and T loops). Lineage: Eukaryota; Metazoa; Chordata; Mammalia; Artiodactyla; Bovidae. The record is from Rfam by way of RNAcentral.
UCCCUGGUGGCUCAGAUGGUAAAGCAUCUGCCUGCAGUGCUGAAGACCCAGGUUCAAUCCCUGGGUUGGGAA